UGCUAAUCUGUAUCUAAACAAAAACUUAAGCAUGGAUAUGAUGAAUAGUUGCUCUGCCUAAUUUGCACAUUCUAAGUUCUCUCUCAAGUUUAGAUAUAACUGUUAUAAUUUAAAGCUUGCCCUAGACCUGAACUUGUGGGAUGAAAACUUGAUCUGAAGUCUAUGUUGUUAACGGAUACGAUAUGGGAAGGUUGAGCUGCUGUUUAUCUGUUCCUAGAGAUGCUAGAAUUCUGGAGAAUUUUAUCUUUGAAAAUCUUUAAAAUAUUGCAUGAUGAGUUUCUAUAUGAUGAGAGCUUAAAUUCCUACCACAGCCAUAUAUACAUGCUUGCUAGACUUUGAGCCACACAUUUACUAUUUACUGCUUAUGAACAUUGAGUGUGAUCAAGCUGUGUAGACCCUUAGGAGCUUGUCAUGUGGUUAAAUCAAGAUUUCACUUGCACGUUCACUCAUAUAUGCUACUUCUACUUCCGAAGUACCAUCCACAUAUAUCCAUCCAUUUCCAUCUCCAGAACCACCUAAAAAUAUUCUACUCCUAAUCCGGGAGAGAAUAACCAAAAAUAUUUCUGUUUCCCCUUGUGAAAUAAAUGCUCAAGUUAUCUUGUUACUACCACUUGCUAUAUUAUCUCAAGAGAUGAGUGCUCUAAAAAAAGAAGAAAAUAAAAAAAUAUACGAGGAAAUAAAAAGGAGCAAGUGCUCGGAACCUCGAAAGAAAAGAAAGAGUGAGACGAGAGGUAAAAAUGGACAAGUGUCCGACAGUAGAAUUAGGGGUGCAAGAUACCCACAUGAGAGACAAGAAAAAGAAGAGCAUCUCAUUCUCCUCAUAAAGUUUCAAAAGCAAGGAAGGUAUGUAUUCCCUCAAAAGAGCAAAGUAGAAUUAGACUUCCACCACCAUUGUUUUCACCAUUGUUAUCACCAUCAUCACCAUACACCAUUCAUUCGCCACACAUGCACAUCUUGAUUUGGCUUAUUGAUUUGUUUCUUUGGAUCCAUGGUUUGACUAUGCAAUAAAUGUCUUGUGAGUAUGUAUACUUUAUCUCCCACCUAUGAGCUCCAAAUAUUAAAGCCUUAUUAGAGUAGGGUGAGAGAGAAGGCAAUGUCACUAUGCCUUAUACCACAAAUACUACAUAUCUUGAGAGAAGGCAUAUACCAUCAAUGCCUUGGUAAGGAUCCAAAAAUACCACAAAAGAGAGAUAUGAGAGAAUCAUACAAGGAAUCUCUGAGUUUUAUUUGAAAAUCUGCAAAAACCCCAGAGCUAUAGCUGAUCAAGAAUAAGAGACAUGGCACUUGGCUAGACUGUUCUAUCUUUUAACCACUCAAGACGGAAGUGACAGUUACAAGUCCCAUGGUGUAGGUAAAGUAAGUAAGUUUUAAGUCUUGACAGUUUACUCUAACUCAGAGAUGAGAUCUUAUUUAAAAAGCAUGUGUACCGUCAAUUUUUAAAGAUAUUGCAACUACUUAUGAUCCAUUGCUGAGUCUAUCCUUGCUCAGGGACGAGCAAGAGGUAAGCUUGGGGGAGUUUGUUGACGGUCCUUAAGUAUCAAAAUUUAAUUAUCAAAUAAAUAAAGAAAAGGAUCCAAAUGAAAUCAAGAUCCAGACUUAAGGUUUUAUCUGACAGAAUUCCAUGAGUUUUGGUGUUUGUCUAUUUCUGCAGGGGGUUAUCAGGAAAUAUGGAAGAAAGGCCCACAUGUCAGGAUUACGUAAAGGUAUUAACGUGCUGCGCAAUUAUCUUACAUCUAGAAGACUCCAGAAGCCACGAGACCGAAGCGGAGGCGAAUCGGGGCCAGAGACAGGGCGCCCGCCCUGUCCUACUGGGCGCCCGCCCUGCUCCCAAGUCCAAUCAGGACUCUGCUUUGCGGGAAGUCUCCACCGACCUAAAGGAUGAAUCUAAACCAUACAAUCUAUGUCGGUUUGAUCCAAGGGCCCAUAUUCACUUGAAGGGACUAUAAAACCAGACCCCCUGGCCCCUAGAGGAGAGAGCCUCUCAACCCUAAUUCAUUGUUCCAUCAAGGGAGAAGAAGCCUCUGAUCAAGAUUAGAGCCACCACAUCAAUUAGAUAUCUAGAUUAGCAUAGCUACAUAGGAUUAGAACUAGAAGGAGUCAAUCUUCGAUUGGUUUCCGGAUCUGUCAGGAGGAUUCUUUGUAAUUCUCUAAUUGUGCUUCUAAUUGCUUUCUAAUUAUCUUUGUUCUUCAAUAUUAUGAAUAUGACUUUGUUCUACUUCAAUAUAUUGCUUAUGACUUUGCUCUACUUGCUUAUAUUCAAGAUUAUAUUGUUCUUAGUUUAUCAUAGUUAUGUACUUGGCUUAGUUAGAUUCGAUCUAUAUACAUGCUUAGGAUCGUAUAGCGUUUGUCCAUCGGAUCCAAGGGUAAAUGAUAGAUAUUGUGUAGGCAUGGUGCUUAUACCGUAUUUAUCUGCGAUUGUACCCAAUAUGCCAGAUCGUGGGGUGGUUCGUGAUAGUGACAGCUUCAUUGAUUCUUAUAUAGUCCCCCUCUCAUGUAUUGGGCUGGCAGAGCAACAUUAUUACAGGGGAGUGAUUGCUAUGUUUCUCAUAUUCCUUGCUAAUAUCACUAUGCAUGGGCGUAGUCUUGUCUCGCAAUGAUUGCUAAGUAUGCUUGCACUAACUAUGAUAUGCUAGACUAUAUAGUUGAGAAUAACUUAGGGAAUAUUCUUGUAGUUCGUUCUAAUACCAUGCUAAUGACUUUCUAGAGUAUCUAAUUGAGGUGCUUAUCAUAUUUAUGAUGUGGCUAGAUCAGAUUAGUUAUCCUUGUCACUAUUAUUAUUUCAUAUAUCUUUUAUGUGACACUUAUCCCUGUAUGAAGAGUUAGAUAUAAUGUUCUCAAUUAUACGAGUGGCAUAAAACCCAUAAGUACAUUCACUGUGGUGGCAUAAAAAUAAAAUAAAUAUUUUUUUUGCUUUAUAAAAUAAAAAUAUAAAAACAGGGAGUAAUAUUUAAGGAGUCUCAAGAUAAUAAAGGCUAGAUAUUUAUGCUAACACUUAAUCAGUUCCACAAGCUUUGUUGCCUAUUUGAGCUCCACAGAAUUAAGAAUCAAGAAGACUGGCAGACGGAGGACAUUCUAAUCGCUGUCAGAAUACUGCUGACUUUCAAAUACACCUCUGCCACCUGCUAGCUACAUUAAGAGAAAUUAUGUCAAAAUUCAGCUUGGGGGAGAGCACCCCCAUUUACCUCGAUAAGUAUUUCUAUCUAUUUUUAUACUUAUAUUAUUUUAGAAUAUUAAAAUACACAUAAACUAUGGGAAAACUAAAUAAAGAUUUUAUGCUUAUAUAUGUCUUUUGCUUAGUGUGUUUAACAAAUAAAUAAACUAGCUAUGCUAAUCUGUAUCUAAACAAAAACUUAAGCAUGGAUAUGAUGAAUAGUUGCUCUGCCUAAUUUGCACAUUCUAAGUUCUCUCUCAAGUUUAGAUAUAACUGUUAUAAUUUAAAGCUUGCCCUAGACCUGAACUUGUGGGAUGAAAACUUGAUCUGAAGUCUAUGUUGUUAACGGAUACGAUAUGGGAAGGUUGAGCUGCUGUUUAUCUGUUCCUAGAGAUGCUAGAAUUCUGGAGAAUUUUAUCUUUGAAAAUCUUUAAAAUAUUGCAUGAUGAGUUUCUAUAUGAUGAGAGCUUAAAUUCCUACCACAGCCAUAUAUACAUGCUUGCUAGACUUUGAGCCACACAUUUACUAUUUACUGCUUAUGAACAUUGAGUGUGAUCAAGCUGUGUAGACCCUUAGGAGCUUGUCAUGUGGUUAAAUCAAGAUUUCACUUGCACGUUCACUCAUAUAUGCUACUUCUACUCCCGAAGUACCAUCCACAUAUAUCCAUCCAUUUCCAUCUCCAAAACCACCUAAAAAUAUUCUACUCCUAAUCCGGGAGAGAAUAACCAAAAAUAUUUCUGUUUCCCCUUGUGAAAUAAAUGCUCAAGUUAUCUUGUUACUACCACUUGCUAUAUUAUCUCAAGAGAUGAGUGCUCUAAAAAAAGAAGAAAAUAAAAAAAUAUACGAGGAAAUAAAAAGGAGCAAGUGCUCGGAACCUCGAAAGAAAAGAAAGAGUGAGACGAGAGGUAAAAAUGGACAAGUGUCCGACAGUAGAAUUAGGGGUGCAAGAUACCCACCUGAGAGACAAGAAAAAGAAGAGCAUCUCAUUCUCCUCAUAAAGUUUCAAAAGCAAGGAAGGUAUGUAUCCCCUCAAAAGAGCAAAGUAGAAUUAGACUUCCACCACCAUUGUUUUCACCAUUGUUAUCACCAUCAUCACCAUACACCAUUCAUUCGCCACACAUGCACAUCUUGAUUUGGCUUAUUGAUUUGUUUCUUUGGAUCCAUGGUUUGACUAUGCAAUAAAUGUCUUGUGAGUAUGUAUACUUUAUCUCCCAC
RNAcentral lists this long non-coding RNA (4366 nucleotides) under Sorghum bicolor (sorghum). RNAcentral's name for it is "long non-coding RNA (SBIC_LNC017621)". The record is from RNAcentral. Lineage: Eukaryota; Viridiplantae; Streptophyta; Magnoliopsida; Poales; Poaceae.